This 253-nucleotide ribosomal RNA is filed under the name uncultured prokaryote. RNAcentral describes it as "partial 16S ribosomal RNA". It matches the Rfam family "Bacterial small subunit ribosomal RNA", at positions 524 to 776 of the family's 1533-position model. The record is from RNAcentral.
UACAGAGGGUGCAAGCGUUAAUCGGAAUUACUGGGCGUAAAGGGCGCGUAGGUGGAUUGUUAAGUUAUAUGUGAAAUCCCCGGGCUUAACCUGGGAACUGCAUAUAAUACUGGCAGACUAGAGUUGUGUAGAGGGAAGUGGAAUUUCCGGUGUAGCGGUGAAAUGUGUAGAGAUCGGGGGGAACACCGGUGGCGAAGGCGGGUCUCUGGGCAUCUCCUGACGCUGAGGCGCGAAAGCGUGGGGAGCAAACGGG